This 1499-nucleotide ribosomal RNA is filed under the name Bacillus pumilus. Its description in RNAcentral is "bacterial SSU rRNA". It matches the Rfam family "Bacterial small subunit ribosomal RNA". Lineage: Bacteria; Bacillati; Bacillota; Bacilli; Caryophanales; Bacillaceae. The record is from RNAcentral.
AGAGUUUGAUCCUGGCUCAGGACGAACGCUGGCGGCGUGCCUAAUACAUGCAAGUCGAGCGGACAGAAGGGAGCUUGCUCCCGGAUGUUAGCGGCGGACGGGUGAGUAACACGUGGGUAACCUGCCUGUAAGACUGGGAUAACUCCGGGAAACCGGAGCUAAUACCGGAUAGUUCCUUGAACCGCAUGGUUCAAGGAUGAAAGACGGUUUCGGCUGUCACUUACAGAUGGACCCGCGGCGCAUUAGCUAGUUGGUGAGGUAACGGCUCACCAAGGCGACGAUGCGUAGCCGACCUGAGAGGGUGAUCGGCCACACUGGGACUGAGACACGGCCCAGACUCCUACGGGAGGCAGCAGUAGGGAAUCUUCCGCAAUGGACGAAAGUCUGACGGAGCAACGCCGCGUGAGUGAUGAAGGUUUUCGGAUCGUAAAGCUCUGUUGUUAGGGAAGAACAAGUGCAAGAGUAACUGCUUGCACCUUGACGGUACCUAACCAGAAAGCCACGGCUAACUACGUGCCAGCAGCCGCGGUAAUACGUAGGUGGCAAGCGUUGUCCGGAAUUAUUGGGCGUAAAGGGCUCGCAGGCGGUUUCUUAAGUCUGAUGUGAAAGCCCCCGGCUCAACCGGGGAGGGUCAUUGGAAACUGGGAAACUUGAGUGCAGAAGAGGAGAGUGGAAUUCCACGUGUAGCGGUGAAAUGCGUAGAGAUGUGGAGGAACACCAGUGGCGAAGGCGACUCUCUGGUCUGUAACUGACGCUGAGGAGCGAAAGCGUGGGGAGCGAACAGGAUUAGAUACCCUGGUAGUCCACGCCGUAAACGAUGAGUGCUAAGUGUUAGGGGGUUUCCGCCCCUUAGUGCUGCAGCUAACGCAUUAAGCACUCCGCCUGGGGAGUACGGUCGCAAGACUGAAACUCAAAGGAAUUGACGGGGGCCCGCACAACCGGUGGAGCAUGUGGUUUAAUUCGAAGCAACGCGAAGAACCUUACCAGGUCUUGACAUCCUCUGACAACCCUAGAGAUAGGACUUUCCCUUCGGGGACAGAGUGACAGGUGGUGCAUGGUUGUCGUCAGCUCGUGUCGUGAGAUGUUGGGUUAAGUCCCGCAACGAGCGCAACCCUUGAUCUUAGUUGCCAGCAUUCAGUUGGGCACUCUAAGGUGACUGCCGGUGACAAACCGGAGGAAGGUGGGGAUGACGUCAAAUCAUCAUGCCCCUUAUGACCUGGGCUACACACGUGCUACAUUGGACAGAACAAAGGGCUGCGAGACCGCAAGGUUUAGCCAAUCCCACAAAUCUGUUCUCAGUUCGGAUCGCAGUCUGCAACUCGACUGCGUGAAGCUGGAAUCGCUAGUAAUCGCGGAUCAGCAUGCCGCGGUGAAUACGUUCCCGGGCCUUGUACACACCGCCCGUCACACCACGAGAGUUUGCAACACCCGAAGUCGGUGAGGUAACCUUUAUGGAGCCAGCCGCCGAAGGUGGGGCAGAUGAUUGGGGUGAAGUCGUA